RNAcentral lists this ribosomal RNA (493 nucleotides) under Salmonella enterica subsp. enterica serovar Kentucky. RNAcentral describes it as "bacterial SSU rRNA". It matches the Rfam family "Bacterial small subunit ribosomal RNA", at positions 1 to 481 of the family's 1533-position model. The record is from RNAcentral. Lineage: Bacteria; Pseudomonadati; Pseudomonadota; Gammaproteobacteria; Enterobacterales; Enterobacteriaceae.
UUAAAUUGAAGAGUUUGAUCAUGGCUCAGAUUGAACGCUGGCGGCAGGCCUAACACAUGCAAGUCGAACGGUAACAGGAAGCAGCUUGCUGCUUUGCUGACGAGUGGCGGACGGGUGAGUAAUGUCUGGGAAACUGCCUGAUGGAGGGGGAUAACUACUGGAAACGGUGGCUAAUACCGCAUAACGUCGCAAGACCAAAGAGGGGGACCUUCGGGCCUCUUGCCAUCAGAUGUGCCCAGAUGGGAUUAGCUGGUUGGUGAGGUAACGGCUCACCAAGGCGACGAUCCCUAGCUGGUCUGAGAGGAUGACCAGCCACACUGGAACUGAGACACGGUCCAGACUCCUACGGGAGGCAGCAGUGGGGAAUAUUGCACAAUGGGCGCAAGCCUGAUGCAGCCAUGCCGCGUGUAUGAAGAAGGCCUUCGGGUUGUAAAGUACUUUCAGCGGGGAGGAAGGUGUUGUGGUUAAUAACUGCAGCAAUUGACGUUACCCG